AUUGAACGCUGGCGGCAGGCCUAACACAUGCAAGUCGAGCGGAUGAAGGGAGCUUGCUCCUGGAUUCAGCGGCGGACGGGUGAGUAAUGCCUAGGAAUCUGUCUGGUAGUGGGGGAUAACGUCCGGAAACGGGCGCUAAUACCGCAUACGUCCUGAGGGAGAAAGUGGGGGAUCUUCGGACCUCACGCUAUCAGAUGAGCCUAGGUCGGAUUAGCUAGUUGGUGGGGUAAAGGCCUACCAAGGCGACGAUCCGUAACUGGUCUGAGAGGAUGAUCAGUCACACUGGAACUGAGACACGGUCCAGACUCCUACGGGAGGCAGCAGUGGGGAAUAUUGGACAAUGGGCGAAAGCCUGAUCCAGCCAUGCCGCGUGUGUGAAGAAGGUCUUCGGAUUGUAAAGCACUUUAAGUUGGGAGGAAGGGCAGUAAGUUAAUACCUUGCCGUUUUGACGUUACCAACAGAAUAAGCACCGGCUAACUUCGUG
This 484-nucleotide ribosomal RNA is filed under the name uncultured bacterium. RNAcentral describes it as "partial 16S ribosomal RNA". It matches the Rfam family "Bacterial small subunit ribosomal RNA", at positions 30 to 507 of the family's 1533-position model. The record is from RNAcentral.